RNAcentral lists this ribosomal RNA (309 nucleotides) under uncultured Desulfotalea sp. RNAcentral's name for it is "bacterial SSU rRNA". It matches the Rfam family "Bacterial small subunit ribosomal RNA", at positions 29 to 334 of the family's 1533-position model. The record is from RNAcentral. Lineage: Bacteria; Pseudomonadati; Thermodesulfobacteriota; Desulfobulbia; Desulfobulbales; Desulfocapsaceae.
AACGAACGCUGGCGGCGUGCUUAACACAUGCAAGUCGAACGCGAACGAGUUCUUCGGAACUUUAGUAGAGUGGCGCACGGGUGAGUAACGCGUAAGUAAUCUACCCUGAUAUCUGGGAUAACAAUUCGAAAGGAUUGCUAAUACCGGAUACGCUGAUUUAUCAGGAAAGGUGGCCUCUGUUUCAUGCUACCGUAUCAGGAGGAGCUUGCGUACCAUUAGCUAGUUGGUGGGGUAAUGGCCUACCAAGGCGACGAUGGUUAGCGGGUCUGAGAGGAUGAUCCGCCACACUGGAACUGAAACACGGACCAG